RNAcentral lists this ribosomal RNA (274 nucleotides) under uncultured bacterium. RNAcentral describes it as "partial 16S ribosomal RNA". It matches the Rfam family "Bacterial small subunit ribosomal RNA", at positions 523 to 796 of the family's 1533-position model. The record is from RNAcentral.
AUACAGAGGGUGCGAGCGUUAAUCGGAAUUACUGGGCGUAAAGCGCGCGUAGGCGGCUUGGUCAGUCGGAUGUGAAAGCCCCGGGCUUAACCUGGGAAUUGCAUUCGAUACUGCCAGGCUAGAAUGUAAUAGAGGGAAGUGGAAUUCCGGGUGUAGCGGUGAAAUGCGUAGAUAUCCGGAGGAACAUCAGUGGCGAAGGCGACUUCCUGGACUAACAUUGACGCUGAGGUGCGAAAGCGUGGGGAGCAAACAGAAUUAGAAACCCCGGUAGUCC